RNAcentral lists this ribosomal RNA (523 nucleotides) under uncultured bacterium. RNAcentral describes it as "bacterial SSU rRNA". It matches the Rfam family "Bacterial small subunit ribosomal RNA", at positions 154 to 672 of the family's 1533-position model. The record is from RNAcentral.
AAAGUUACGCUAAUACCGCAUACGAUCUAUGGAUGAAAGCGGGGGAUCGCAAGACCUCGCGCGAUUGGAGCGGCCGAUAUCAGAUUAGGUAGUUGGUGAGGUAAAGNNUCACCAAGCCGACGAUCUGUAGCUGGUCUGUGAGGACGACCAGCCACACUGGGACUGAGACACGGCCCAGNCUCCUACGGGAGGCAGCAGUGGGGAAUUUUGGACAAUGGGCGAAAGCCUGAUCCAGCAAUGCCGCGUGCAGGAUGAAGGCCUUCGGGUUGUAAACUGCUUUUGUACGGAACGAAACGGCGAGCUCUAAUACAGUUUGCUAAUGACGGUACCGUAAGAAUAAGCACCGGCUAACUACGUGCCAGCAGCCGCGGUAAUACGUAGGGUGCAAGCGUUAAUCGGAAUUACUGGGCGUAAAGCGUGCGCAGGCGGUUCUAUAAGACAGGCGUGAAAUCCCCGGGCUCAACCUGGGAAUUGCGUUUGUGACUGUAGGGCUAGAGUACGGCAGAUGGGGAUGGAAUUCCGC